AAAAAGCGGAGGAAAAGAAACCAACAGGGAUUGCCUUAGUAGCGGCGAGUGAAGCGGCAAGAGCUCAAAUUUGAAAUCUGGUACUUUCAGUAUCCGAGUUGUAAUUUGAAGAAAGUUAUCUUGGAGUUGGCCCUUGUCUAUGUUCCUUGGAACAGGACGUCACAGAGGGUGAGAAUCCCGUGCGAUGGGGUGCCCAUUCUAUGUAAGAUACUUUCGACGAGUCGAGUUGUUUGGGAAUGCAGCUCUAAGUGGGUGGUAAAUUCCAUCUAAAGCUAAAUAUUGGCGAGAGACCGAUAGCGAACAAGUACAGUGAUGGAAAGAUGAAAAGAACUUUGAAAAGAGAGUGAAAAAGUACGUGAAAUUGUUGAAAGGGAAGGGUAUUUGAUCAGACUGAUAUUCAGUUAACACUGUUCCUUGUGGAUGGUGCUCUAGCUUUUUAUUGGGCCAGCAUCAGUUUAGGUGGCAGGAUAAGAACUGUUGAACGUGGCUCUUCGGAGUGUUAUAGCUUCAGUUGAUACUGCCUAUCUAGACUGAGGUCUGCGGCUUGCCUAGAUGCUGCGUAAGACUACGUA
Molecule: ribosomal RNA, 572 nt
Filed under: [Candida] boidinii
Lineage: Eukaryota; Fungi; Ascomycota; Pichiomycetes; Pichiales; Pichiaceae
Description: eukaryotic LSU rRNA
Rfam family: Eukaryotic large subunit ribosomal RNA
Source: RNAcentral